GACGAACGCUGGCGGCGUGCUUAACACAUGCAAGUCGAACGGAAAGGCCCUGCUUUUGUGGGGUGCUCGAGUGGCGAACGGGUGAGUAACACGUGAGUAACCUGCCCUUGACUUUGGGAUAACUUCAGGAAACUGGGGCUAAUACCGGAUAGGAGCUCCUGCUGCAUGGUGGGGGUUGGAAAGUUUCGGCGGUUGGGGAUGGACUCGCGGCUUAUCAGCUUGUUGGUGGGGUAGUGGCUUACCAAGGCUUUGACGGGUAGCCGGCCUGAGAGGGUGACCGGCCACAUGGGGACUGAGAUACGGCCCAGACGCCUACGGGAGGCAGCAGUGGGGAAUAUUGCACAAUGGGAGGAAGCCUGAUGCAGCAACGCCGCGUGCGGGAUGACGGCCUUCGGGUUGUAAACCGCUUUCGCCUGUGACGAAGCGUGAGUGACGGUAAUGGGUAAAGAAGCACCGGCUAACUACGUG
RNAcentral lists this ribosomal RNA (468 nucleotides) under uncultured bacterium. Its description in RNAcentral is "partial 16S ribosomal RNA". It matches the Rfam family "Bacterial small subunit ribosomal RNA", at positions 28 to 507 of the family's 1533-position model. The record is from RNAcentral.